Molecule: non-coding RNA, 124 nt
Organism: Triticum aestivum (bread wheat)
Lineage: Eukaryota; Viridiplantae; Streptophyta; Magnoliopsida; Poales; Poaceae
Source: Rfam
AAUGUACUCCCUCCGUCCGGAAAUACUUGUCCUAGAAAUGGAUAAAAUGGAUGUAUCUAUAACUAAAAUAAGUCUAGAUACAACCAUUUCUAAGACAAGUAUUUCCGGACAGAGGGAGUACUGC